GCUGUUAAGGGUUCGUAGUUGAAUUGAGGGCUGUCAAGGAGACGAACAAGUCCCGUCCUUCGAUUGGUGACCUUCGCUCUUGCAGUUCGUGAACAUCAGAAACAAACAUCUCGGAAAUGUUUCCCCCCACCUACGCAUGCAAUGUAUGCAGGGGGGCGUCCGUGUGUCUUACUGUGACUAAAAAGUGCGACCAAAGCAGUCGUUCGACAUGAAUUAGAAAGCAUGGGAUAACAACGAGCAACCUACGGGCUACCGUAUCGGCUUUUGUUGGUUUUAAAAGUCUGUGGGAGACUAUGGGUUCGCCGACAAGCGGUUCGGGAGCGCGUGCGCUCCCUACGCCUCCGGUUCUCCUUGCGGGUUCCGGCUUGCGACGCCCAGGAAUGAAGGAGGGUUGUUCGGGGGAGAACGUACUUGGCGUGAGAGGUGAAAUUCUUAGACCGCUCAAAGACGAACUACAGCGAAGGCAUUCUCCAGGAUACCUUCCUCAAUCAAGAACCAAAGUGUGGAGAUCGAAGAUGAUUAGAUACCAUUGUGUCC
This 537-nucleotide ribosomal RNA is filed under the name uncultured kinetoplastid. RNAcentral's name for it is "bacterial SSU rRNA". It matches the Rfam family "Eukaryotic small subunit ribosomal RNA", at positions 615 to 1026 of the family's 1831-position model. The record is from RNAcentral. Lineage: Eukaryota; Euglenozoa; Kinetoplastea.